Molecule: long non-coding RNA, 464 nt
Organism: Sorghum bicolor (sorghum)
Lineage: Eukaryota; Viridiplantae; Streptophyta; Magnoliopsida; Poales; Poaceae
Exons: 2
Source: RefSeq, a predicted model, not a curated record
GUAGGUUAGCCUACAAUAUAAAUAUGAGGGGUAGGUGUUGUGGCGUCCUAGUGUACUCGGCAGCCAUAUUCGUUUUCCUUUUGCUGCUUGCAUAUACAUCACCUGUGACAUGUCGUCACCAUCUGCUUGAGGUUGCAAGUUUAACAUCAUCACCAUCAUCCAAUGGGACUGAUCAGAGUGAUUCUGCACUAAUAUUUUGCAAGCGGGAUACUUGUGUACUGUGGAAGGUCUGCUACUGCUGCUUGACUGAGGAUGAACCCAACUGUUAUCAGAGGCAGGAUGUGUGCAAGGCAAACUGCCUCUCUUGCAAACCUAAAUGCUCACGCCACCAUCGUCUACCCAAAACCAACCGAUGAUGCAACCCUAUAUGUUUGGAACGGUAGUUGCUCUACUUUACAAAAAUAAUAACAAGAGCUAGCCUCCUUGUAAUCAAUCUCAAUCAUCAACUUAGAGAGUUGAAAAUA